RNAcentral lists this long non-coding RNA (1912 nucleotides) under Equus caballus (horse). RNAcentral's name for it is "lncRNA (ENSECAG00000059744.1)". The record is from RNAcentral. Lineage: Eukaryota; Metazoa; Chordata; Mammalia; Perissodactyla; Equidae.
GUUCUCUAUCAAAUGUUGUUCUUUUGAAUUUUAACAGUUUUUAGGCCACUUAGGUCAUAUUGAUGAUGCUGUGAAGUGAUUGUAGAGGGUGUAUAGGGUCUUCAUUUUUAUGAAGUAAUGAAGAAUUAGACUAAUGUUGAAAUAUGUCUACUUCAUGAUGAACCUCUCUUUUCAAGUUUAGCAGCUUUACCUUUUAGUCCACAUUUUCCCAAUCCUUUAUUAUAAAUUUGAUUUCUGCUUACACAUGAUAUAGUUUGUAAGAGCUUUUAAAUCCUUUCUGGAAUUAGGCCCAAUAUAAACAAACUACAGGUAAAUCAUAUCAAAGAUUGACCCAUUUAAUACAGAUAUGAGCGAGAAAUGGAUGAGAGAGGAAAACCCUCAGGGACUGGAACCUGUAGUCACAUACCUCAGCUCACCUUUCCAGAUUUGCCAACAAGGAGAACCCGUGACUGAUUUGGAUUCUCUGCUUUCUGUUCUUGUUCCCUGGAGGCGUUCCUUCUGUGUAAGGAAACGUCAGAUUUGGGAACUAGACAAGCUAUUUCAGAAUUACGCGUGGUGUUGAUUACAAAUGCGAGGCUCACUAAAUCAAGAGCUCCAGAAGCAGCGUCUUGGAAUUUGUCUUUAACGACAACCCUGGUGCUUCCAGUGUACACACAAGUCCAGAAGCCCAGAGUGGAAGCAGAGGCGAGAGGCUGGGGUGUCACACUGACAGACAACGACCCCACCGACCACCCGCACAGGACCCUCCUUUUCUGAGGAAGGCACAGGUUGACUAAAUGAUUGCAACGUGGCAAUCUUGAGUUUCUAGACUGUUGCCAGAAAGGCUUCCUUGGCCCUCAGCCAGGGCCCCACCCCUAUAAUCCUGCCUUCCCCCAACUCCUACCACGGGCUCCAAUCCCGAAGAUUUUGGGGGCCCCCGGAACUGGGCUUUUCUCACCACGGAUAAACAGUGUUUGUGUGUACAAACCCAGUGGCCUCCCCAGGAGACUGCAGACAUACUUUGUGGUACUUCACCUAAGUGUGGCUCUUCUGAGCGCAGAUCCACUUUCCCUCUGAGGCUGACUCUUCCAGGAUGGCCUUCCUCGGUUCCAGCUUGGGCCACCCUGGGCCACCCUGGGGCCCCUCUGCACACAGGUGAGAUCUACCAGGAAAGCAGUUCCAACGGCUUAACUUGCCUCAGGCUGGGUCUUGGGGAGAAAUGUUUCAUUCCCAGGUGCAAAAGCAGAAAACACGCAAACGUAAGUUGUUUGCUAAAGUGAAAAAUGUGAGCGUGGACAUUCCUUAAUACACGGUUUAUGUUUCAGUGUAAGUUUUCCUGUAACAUUGGGGUUAAAGAGGAAAGGAACUGGAAGUGGAAUUGGUAAUUCGGUAACUUCCAUUCUGCUUUUAGGUUUGUGUAUCCAGAAAAAAACAAUCGCCGCUUUAUCAAGAGAAAGACAUCUGAAGGCAGUCUCAGAUUGCAAAUUUGUGAGUGACGUGUGCGGGGGUGGGGGACAUGUGUGUGUGUGAGGUGUGUAAUUCCAAAGAUUCUUUCUAGCUUUCAACCUUUCCACAAUCCAUCAACAACUUAGACUAAUAACAGGGUUUUCCUUCUUUUUUCAUAGAAAAUAAAUUUUCUGCAAAGCAGAUACAAUUUGUUCUCCUUGAGUUAUGGAAACAAAGAGGCUUUAGGACGGUGCUGUCCUCCCAUCUUCAGAUGUCAGAGACACCUUUCUCCUCUUGAAAGAGACAAUUUUGUUCUGCUGAUGGCAGUACAGCACUGUGCAAGGAUCGAGCAUGUGUGGAGAAUCAGACAGACAUGGUGUCCGCGCUCAAGGCGCAUAACUCAGCGGGAAGACAGAAGAUAAAUACAGUAACAACUGACACUUUCUACAGGCUAGAUAGAAGCUCAUUUAACCCUCACAACAACUCG